UACGGGGGGAGCAAGCGUUGUUCGGAUUUACUGGGCGUAAAGGGCGCGUAGGCGGCGUGACAAGUCACUUGUGAAAUCUCCGGGCUUAACUCGGAGCGGCCAAGUGAUACUGUCGUGCUAGAGUGCGGAAGGGGCUACUGGAAUUCUCGGUGUAGCGGUGAAAUGCGUAGAUAUCGAGAGGAACACCUGCGGCGAAGGCGGGUAGCUGGGCCGACACUGACGCUGAGGCGCGAAAGCUAGGGGAGCGAACGGG
RNAcentral lists this ribosomal RNA (253 nucleotides) under uncultured bacterium. Its description in RNAcentral is "partial 16S ribosomal RNA". It matches the Rfam family "Bacterial small subunit ribosomal RNA", at positions 524 to 776 of the family's 1533-position model. The record is from RNAcentral.